Molecule: microRNA precursor, 127 nt
Filed under: Gossypium hirsutum (cotton)
Lineage: Eukaryota; Viridiplantae; Streptophyta; Magnoliopsida; Malvales; Malvaceae
Description: MIR7504 microRNA precursor family
Rfam family: MIR7504 microRNA precursor family
Source: Rfam by way of RNAcentral
AAUAGAAGAAUGACAAAUCAGAUUUUUUCUCUUGAUUUUCAACUUUUUUUUUCUCCUUAGAAAAAAAUAAAUCCAACUAAAAAAGCUAAAAAUCAGGAGAAAAAAUCUAAUUGGUCAUUAUCCUAUU